RNAcentral lists this ribosomal RNA (526 nucleotides) under uncultured bacterium. RNAcentral's name for it is "bacterial SSU rRNA". It matches the Rfam family "Bacterial small subunit ribosomal RNA", at positions 983 to 1509 of the family's 1533-position model. The record is from RNAcentral.
GACAUCCAGAGAACUUAGCAGAGAUGCUUUGGUGCCUUCGGGAACUCUGAGACAGGUGCUGCAUGGCUGUCGUCAGCUCGUGUUGUGAAAUGUUGGGUUAAGUCCCGCAACGAGCGCAACCCUUAUCCUUUGUUGCCAGCGGUUCGGCCGGGAACUCAAAGGAGACUGCCGGUGAUAAACCGGAGGAAGGUGGGGAUGACGUCAAGUCAUCAUGGCCCUUACGGCCAGGGCUACACACGUGCUACAAUGGCGCAUACAAAGAGAAGCGACCUCGCGAGAGCAAGCGGACCUCAUAAAGUGCGUCGUAGUCCGGAUUGGAGUCUGCAACUCGACUCCAUGAAGUCGGAAUCGCUAGUAAUCGUAGAUCAGAAUGCUACGGUGAAUACGUUCCCGGGCCUUGUACACACCGCCCGUCACACCAUGGGAGUGGGUUGCAAAAGAAGUAGGUAGCUUAACCUUCGGGAGGGCGCUUACCACUUUGUGAUUCAUGACUGGGGCGAAGUCGUAACAAGGUAAGCGUAGCGAG